Long non-coding RNA from Cannabis sativa, 442 nucleotides. RefSeq lists it as uncharacterized. Lineage: Eukaryota; Viridiplantae; Streptophyta; Magnoliopsida; Rosales; Cannabaceae. The record is from RefSeq and is a predicted model, not a curated record. The transcript is spliced from 2 exons.
UAUACUUAGAAAAUCAAAAAAUUUAAUUUCUAAACCAAUAAUUUAAACCCUAAAAAAACUAUACUUUUUUUUUUCAAAACCCCAAAAAUACCCCCAAACUAAAACUAUCUCUCUUUCUCUCUCUAUCUAGCCGGUCCCAAGAAUCCCACACCCCAGGUCCGAUGGUCGGACCAUGGGGUCCGAUGGGGUCCGACCAAUCGGACCCAUCGGACCCCAAGGUCCGACCAUCGGACCUCUCUCUUCCCCUCUCUCUCAAAUCGCAAAAAAAAAAAAAAAAAAAAAUUAAAGCCGGUCGGACCUUCUGGUCCGACCAUCGGACCCUUUCUUCCUCUCUCUCCAAAAUCGCAGAAAAAAAAAAAAAAAAUUAAAAAGACGGUCGGACCUUUGUCUUCUUCCCUCUCUCAAAUCGCAGGAAAAAAAAAAAAAAGUUUCAGAGACUGGG